UUCUAUUUAUUGCCUCCUCCUUCAGGGCUGCUUUGAUAUUUAGCGUGUGCCAAAGUGUUCUGUUGCCUUCGAGUUUCCUCCUCUAUGGACUACUUUUUGUUCUGCCUGCAUGACGCCUGCGCUCGAAGGCUCGGAGUGCUGGCGAGUAACAUCCUAGAACAUGAAAGAAGUCGAAGCCUUCCUCAACGGAUGCCUCGGGAAAAUACCCAAUAUACAACACAAGAAGACCCAAGUGCAACAAUGUGGUGCUAGAGAUCUAAUCUCGGCCGAUUCCAACGGCUUGGGCAUGAUCUCAGGAUGGACCAAGACCGCACUACCGUGGACUCCACCUGGCUGGCCCAAGAACACGUGGCGGCGUACGGUGACAGAUGACCUGAAGGAGAUGAACCUAACCUGGGGCGAGGCGCAGCAUGUUGGUCAAGACAGGUCCAGAUUGAGGCAGAUCGCCAGGGACGAAAAGGACUGAGUGCUCCGGCUUCCUCCCGCUUCCAAAGACAUGCACCUGGGAAUAGGCUGAGUAGCAACACUAAAUUGGUCCUAGUGUGUGAGUGUGAGUGUUGUCUGUCUUUCUGAGUUGGACCUGUGGUGAGGCGGCGACUUAUCCAGCCUCCCCGCCACCCCAAAAUGGUCAAGCGGUAGAAAAUGGAUGGAUGUUUUUUGUCGCCAAUUAGCAUGCUUUAAAAGCCAGCUCUGUCCUCUGGGAUCAAUGUUUGUCUUUUGCUUGCAAUUUUGCUCCGUGAUUCAUACACAUGUUUACUUCCCAGCUGUAUGCUUCUUUUUUUUUUGUUUUUGUCUUAUAUGUGUUCUCAGACACAACUGGUGGAAUUAAAUGUGCAAACCCCGUUUCCAUAUGAGUUGGGAAAUUGUGUUAGAUGUAAAUAUAAACGGAAUACAAUGAUUUGCAAAUCCUUUUCAACCCAUAUUCAGUUGAAUAUGCUACAAAGACAACAUAUUCG
Molecule: long non-coding RNA, 956 nt
Organism: Nerophis ophidion (straightnose pipefish)
Lineage: Eukaryota; Metazoa; Chordata; Actinopteri; Syngnathiformes; Syngnathidae
Exons: 3
Source: RefSeq, a predicted model, not a curated record